Molecule: ribosomal RNA, 519 nt
Filed under: uncultured bacterium
Lineage: Bacteria
Description: partial 16S ribosomal RNA
Rfam family: Bacterial small subunit ribosomal RNA
Source: RNAcentral
AACAAACGCUGGCGGCGUGCCUAACACAUGCAAGUCGUACGAGAAAGGGUCUUUCGGGAUCUGAGUAAAGUGGCGCACGGGUGAGUAACGCGUGGAUAAUCUGCCCUUCAGUUGGGAAUAACUCAUCGAAAGGUGGGCUAACACCGAAUAAUGCUGUGAGACCUCGGUUGAUCAGCCAAAGAGAGCCUCUGCUUGCAAGCCCUUGCUGAAGGAUGAGUCCGCGUACCAUUAGCUAGUUGGUAGGGUAAUGGCCUACCAAGGCGACGAUGGUUAGCGUGUCUGAGAGGAUGAUCAGCCACACUGGAACUGAGACACGGUCCAAACUCCUACGGGAGGCAGCAGUGAGGAAUCUUGCGCAAUGGGGGAAACCCUGACGCAGCAACGCCGCGUGAGUGAGGAAGGUCUUCGGAUCGUAAAGCUCUGUCGGAUGGAAAGAGCCGCAUAGGGGUAAACAGCCCCUGUGUCUGACGGUACCAUCAAAGGAAGCACCGGCUAACUCCGUGCCAGCCGCCGCGGUAA